GACGAACGCUGGCGGCGUGCUUAACACAUGCAAGUCGAACGGUGAAGCUCCAGCUUGCUGGAGUGGAUCAGUGGCGAACGGGUGAGUAACACGUGAGCAACCUGCCCCUGACUCUGGAAUAAGCGCUGGAAACGGCGUCUAAUACUGGAUACGAGAAGGGUCCGCAUGGGCACUUUCUGGAAAGUUUUUCGGUUGGGGAUGGGCUCGCGGCCUAUCAGCUUGUUGGUGAGGUAAUGGCUCACCAAGGCGACGACGGGUAGCCGGCCUGAGAGGGCGACCGGCCACACUGGGACUGAGACACGGCCCAGACUCCUACGGGAGGCAGCAGUGGGGAAUAUUGCACAAUGGGCGAAAGCCUGAUGCAGCGACGCCGCGUGAGGGAUGACGGCCUUCGGGUUGUAAACCUCUUUCAGCAGGGAAGAAGCGAAAGUGGCGGUACCUGCAGAAGAAGCACCGGCUAACUACGUG
RNAcentral lists this ribosomal RNA (468 nucleotides) under uncultured bacterium. Its description in RNAcentral is "partial 16S ribosomal RNA". It matches the Rfam family "Bacterial small subunit ribosomal RNA", at positions 28 to 507 of the family's 1533-position model. The record is from RNAcentral.